This 301-nucleotide ribosomal RNA is filed under the name uncultured bacterium. RNAcentral's name for it is "partial 16S ribosomal RNA". It matches the Rfam family "Bacterial small subunit ribosomal RNA", at positions 509 to 809 of the family's 1533-position model. The record is from RNAcentral.
CAGUCGCCGCGGGAAUACGUAGGGUGCAAGCGUUAAUCGGAAUUACUGGGCGUAAAGCGUGCGCAGGCGGUUUGUUAAGACAGAUGUGAAAUCCCCGGGCUCAACCUGGGAACUGCAUUUGUGACUGGCAAGCUAGAGUGUGGCAGAGGGGGGUGGAAUUCCGCGUGUAGCAGUGAAAUGCGUAGAUAUGCGGAGGAACACCGAUGGCGAAGGCAGCCCCCUGGGCCAACACUGACGCUCAUGCACGAAAGCGUGGGGAGCAAACAGGAUUAGAUACCCGGGUAGUCCCUGUCUCUUAUAA